UCCGAGUUGACCCCGGCAGUCUCCCAUGAGUCCCCGGCAUAACCCGCUGGCAACAUAGGACGAGGGUUGCGCUCGUUGCGGGACUUAACCCAACAUCUCACGACACGAGCUGACGACAACCAUGCACCACCUGUGCACGGCCCUUACGGACCCCCCAUCUCUGGAAGAUUUCCGUGCAUGUCAAGCCUAGGUAAGGUUCUUCGCGUUGCAUCGAAUUAAGCCACAUGCUCCGCUGCUUGUGCGGGCCCCCGUCAAUUCCUUUGAGUUUUAGCCUUGCGGCCGUACUCCCCAGGCGGGGAACUUAAUGCGUUAGCUACGGCACCGCAGGGGUCAAAGCCCGCGACACCUAGCACCCAUCGUUUACGGCGUGGACUAC
This 376-nucleotide unclassified non-coding RNA is filed under the name uncultured Actinomycetes bacterium. RNAcentral describes it as "uncultured actinobacterium contains 16S-23S intergenic spacer region". The record is from RNAcentral. Lineage: Bacteria; Bacillati; Actinomycetota; Actinomycetes.